Molecule: ribosomal RNA, 405 nt
Filed under: uncultured bacterium
Lineage: Bacteria
Description: partial 16S ribosomal RNA
Rfam family: Bacterial small subunit ribosomal RNA
Source: RNAcentral
AUUGAACGCUAGCGGCAGGCUUUACACAUGCAAGUCGAACGAGUGGCGGACGGGUGAGUAAUAUAUCGGAACGUGCCCAAUAGAGGGGGAUAACUACUGGAAACAGUAGCUAAUACCGCAUACUAUUGGAUCUGCCGAUAUGGGAUUGGCUAGUUGGUGGGGUAAAGGCUCACCAAGGCAAAGAUCCCUAGCUGGUCUGAGAGGAUGACCAGCCACACUGGGACUGAGACACGGCCCAGACUCCUACGGGAGGCAGCAGUGGGGAAUUUGGGACAAUGGGGGAAACCCUGAUCCAGCCAUGCCGCGUGUAUGAGAAGGCCUUCGGGGUGUAAAGUACUUUUGGCAGAGAGGCGUUAUCUGCAGAAUAAGCACCGGCUAACUACGUGCCAGCAGCCGCGGUAAUUC